Molecule: long non-coding RNA, 2892 nt
Filed under: Homo sapiens (human)
Lineage: Eukaryota; Metazoa; Chordata; Mammalia; Primates; Hominidae
Description: HSALNT0402759
Source: RNAcentral
AGUUUUAUAGUAUAUUUUAAAUAAAAGAUAAAGAAAAUGCCUAACUUUUCAAAUAGUUUGUAAAUUAACCUAAAACAUGCACUUUUAAAAGAAUAGUAUAAUGGCCUUUCUGUACAAGUUAACCUAGAAUCUGUGAAAUAAAUAGACACAGAUUCUGUGUCCACUCACAAAAGUGAAGAAAUAAGACAAUUUUCUGGAACAUUCCAUGAAACAUUCUUCUCUGAUUUAAUCUGGCCUGCCUCAUCAGAGCAAUACAAAAAUUACUUAAAAAUACUGUUUUAACAGGACAAAAGUCAGUUUUCUAUGAGGAAUGAUAUAUAAUUCUCAACUUUUCCAAGGGUACGUAUUGUAAGAGAAAAGGUAUGCAAUGGUUUUUCAAAAUGGUAGAAUGAAAGUCACAAUAUAAAAAAAUAAGUACAUUAUAGAGAUAGUAAAGUGGAAAUAAUUCAUUGUAAUGAAAAUAAAAAAUCAAGCUUCUGCCAUAAUUCGUAUCCUAAAACAUGUUAUGUAAUUCAACUAGCUACAGAAUAACAGUUGACAUGCUAAGUUCCAUACAUACUUGACUUUCCACUUGAAAUAAUUUCUUCUUUGGGACCUGUGUCUCAUCCAAAUUAAUGUGAUAAUGUGAUAUACCUUCCAGUGGAGACUCUAACAUAGUUAAUUUUUUUAGGCUGUCAGCCGCUUCUUGUUGAAGUUGUCUCACAACCACCUGAGAAAAUAUUUUUGUUACUGAUUUUAUAAAUUGCCUUAUUAAAUUAUGUUAAUAAUAUUUAACUCCCUGCCAAAUUGGUAUUCUCUUACUUACAUAACAGAUUCAUCCCACCAUUCAAUCAUCUUAGAAGCUCAACUCAACCUCAAAGUUCCUCACAUAUUCAAUCACCUGUUCAAAUCCUUCCAACAGAUUCCUAUCUCAGAAUAAAAGUAAAAUUCCAAUGGCCUUUGAGGUCCUAGGUAAACAGGUCUCUACCUCCCUCUCUGACUUCAAAGCUCCUACAACUCCCUCCUGUAAUUACUCCAUUCCCACUGUACGUGAAGCCUGCCACCCCUCUGUCUGAAAAUAGGGAUCUAAUGCCUUACUCAUAAAUCACAGGCAGCUACAAGUAUCUUUGUACUGAACAAAAUUAUAUUCCAAUGAUAGUCAUUAAGCCUUGAAAUAAAAAUUAGGAGCUAAUUAUUAAUAUAAAUAUUCAAAGUAAACUAUAAAUACCAGUGGGAAGACUAAACCAAAUAUAGUUUUGCUAAAUAUUACCACAUGUAUCCUAAAUUAUGAUUUUAUAACAAGUAGGUGCCUUUAAAACAUUACAUAGUCAUAAAAAUAUGUAAUUUGACAUAUUUUCAGAUUUGUUAAAUUAAUAUGAUUAAUAACAAAGAUAUACCAACUAAAAUACAUAAAAAGCUACUUAAAGCAAGGUAUUACAAGACACAGCAAUACACUUCAGUUCAUCUGGGAAAUCUAGAAUUAAGUGUCAAAGAUAAUCAAUUAAAUUUUAAUUUGAAAAUACUCAUUUCAGGUGUAAACAUUUCCAUUUAUACUUACAUUAUGGUCUUAACAUGUGGCAACAUAAAGUCAUUAAAAUUAUUAUUUCAGCAGUACAGAACUAUCUACCUUAAAAUAUGACUCUGUGCCUAAUAAAAUUUCAUAGGUGACACAAUGUCUUUUCUCAAAGUAAAUCAUCUCUCACCUCUACCUUUUAUUUCCUAGAAAUGGGGCACGUUUCUAAGCUGGUAUAGUAAACACGGUUUUCCUUUUUUUUUAUUAAAACAGCUUUGUUGAAAUAUAAUUUACAUACUAUAGAAUGUAUCUGUUUUAACUUAAAGUUAAAAGAAUUUUUAGUCCAUUUACUGAGUUGUGCAGCCAUCUCUACAAUCAAACUUUACAGCAUUUCCAUCACUGCAAGAUCCCUGACGCCCAUUAGCAGUCACUACCAGCUUUCAGCCCCAGCCCUUUGCAAACAUUAGUCUACUUUUUGUCCCUAUACGUUUAUCUUUUCUGGAUGCUUCAUGUAAAUGGAAUUAUACAGUAUGGUAAACACACUUUUUAUCCAUUGAUUUUUAUAUUCAACUAAGUUCAACAUGUAUCCAGAACCAAAUGUUUAAAUUUUCUUUCUAAAAGUUUGAAAAUAUUUAUCUUCCUUGAUACUUACUACUCUUUCUGCUUUCUCUCUCACAUAUCGAAAGAGACUUUCUUUUUAAUGAUCACAUUCGUUCAUUAGCUUCUUAUUUUUCUCUUCUAGCAUGUGGUCUUUCUUUCCACUCUCAAUAAAGCCUCUUUGGAUAUUAGUUACUAUCUCUUUAUGAUCCUCUUUCUGAUGAACAUCAUCUAGUUGCUGUUCAAUGCACGGAUUUUCAUGUUGGAGUUGACAUAUCCUCUCUUCUACACAGCUCCACUUUCCAGUGGAAUUAUUCACUUUAGCUUCUGCAUUUUCAUACAUCUCUUUCAUUUCCUUUAUUUGCUGCUGUGUUUGGCUUAGGUCGUUUGGAGAGUUUCUAAAGCCAAUGACUUUUUUCUGAGAGUAUCUCUGUUCUUACGGAACUUAUCUUUUAAGGUAUUGAAUUUAAUUUGCUUUUUAGAAAGUUGUUCAGUAAGAAACUCAUUCUUCUACUUCGGAAAUAUCAGAACUCAUUUUUACUUGUACGGAAACAUCUUGUGUUCACUCUAAUGCAAGUUUUAGGUUUCUUUCUGUUUUCACACUUUCACUGUGCUUACUUAUAGCAGCAGUCAGUCUAGACUGAUGAUUCAAUUUCAGCUUCCAGUCUUUUGUUGCUUUCUUCUUCCUUCAACAGAUCGGAAUUGAGCCUUGUAUUCUCAGCUUUGAGAUCAUUAAGCUCUUGUUGAUACCGGAAUGCUGUUCUUGUUAUCAAUUCCUCAUUGAGUUUUAUAUACUUUUCAAG